ACAAAUACUUCUCUAGUUACCCAGGAGGCAGCUGUGAGACACAUGCAGCCAUGGUGCACUCUGGCCUGAAGCACACCCACCGUGCAGGUGAACAAGUGGAUUUAUCAGCCCUGCUCUGUGAUGAUUCCAACCCUGCACAGGCAAGCUCUGUGGCCAUGGAAAUGUAAAUACCCUGCAUGAGGCCUAAGUACAGAAUCUUGAAAGAGCCACUGCAUUCAGCUGCACUUUUAGCAGAACUGUCUGUGACACCAAGAACAGUGAACCAAAGAUUUAUUGUGUUAACUUCCACCAGGAAAGGCCCCAUUUCACACCAGUUCACAACACUGCUGCAGUAACUGUUGUCAUGGCAGGACUGGGAGCAGGCUUGAGCAGCUCCAGGAAAUCAAAACCAUCACUGCCACCAUGAGAAGUUUUUGUGAAACUACGUGAUCAAGCACUACAUCUAUCUUUUCAUCACAUUUGUGGUAUUAACUAGGUUUUCUUCAUGUCUUAGUGACACUGUAGAUCUGACUUUGUCUCUUCAACCCAUGAAAGGACAAGAAUGAAAAAAGCCUUUGAAAUAGAAUCAUGUCCCUGUAAAGAAGUAACACAUUUUCCAGCUGUGGCUUUGCCUUCUGAAGCCAGGUGAAAGCCUUGCCUGUAAUUAGUACACAUCACUCCCAUUAAUUAGCGUGUACAUAAACUGUUGAAUUCACUCUAUGACCUUUACAGAUUGUUAUUUUUCCUGCACUGCUGGACUAACAGCCAAUGUUUACUGAGUUCCCCUUAUCAGGUGACAAAAAUGAGGACAUUCCUGAGCUAGAGACACUGUAAAGUUGUUUUCAACAGUUGUUUCAUUUUGCUUACUGUAAAGAAAUGCACACCCACACAAAAGUAAUUCUGAAAGACCAGAACAAAUCAUGCUCUAUUUAAUCUACUUGCCUUUAACAAUCAAAUCCAAGUGUGUGUUAAUUAUGUACAAAAAGCAAGUCUUUAGUAUGUCACUGGUCUGCAAGUUUUGUUAUUAAAGGUCACAAUAUCCUCAUAUGAAUUAGAGUGGACACGUGUCACAAUUGAGGAGAGUCAAAAGUGAACCUGUAUGCAACAUUUCAACCACAUAAAGAGCACAUUUACAUUGGAGCUAUUUACAUGGGUAUGCAUUUGUUCAAAGCUUAGAUCUUGAUAGAUAAUGUAGAAUACCACCAGCAUUUCAAAUAACACCCAAAAAAUGUCCUUUUUUUCUGAUGGCCCAUAACCCAACAAAGGGACUCUGACAAACAAAUGCUACACUGCCUUAAGAACAGAGCAGCAUGUCCUAGGGCAGGGCUCUCAGCAGAAACUUCAAAUGCAGCUGCCUGUAUAAUUUAACAUAUCAAAAACUUGUCCUCUGUAACUCAGUGUAUGAAAAUUAAAAAUUCUCUUUAAUAUUGCUUCUAUUUGCAAACAUUUGUAAAGCAAAUGCAAUUUCUAAAUAGCAAUGUUUUGAAAAGUCAUUCCUGCUUGUUCCAAACUUGUUCUUUUAAAUGAAAAAUGUUACCUACACCUGGUUUUAUAUUUUGUUCUUCAUUUUAAAAGAUGAUGAAAGUUUAUGUAAUUGUCAAACAUCUAAAUAUUCCUAUUUUGUACAGUUUUUAUAAACACUUGAAAACAAUGUAAAUUAUUUAAAGGAAAAACAAGUCCUAGUGCAGAACAACCAGCUUUGCUCUAUAACAAAUUUUAGACCAACAAAUUGUUCUGGUUUUGUUAUCAAUGGGAAAUUUCUACAGUUUGAGUCCUGGACUUAAUAUCUCCAUAGAUUUGUGUAUAGUGUAUCUGAUAUUCUCCACUGACUUCUGUAUACAAUUUAUUGAGCUGGAAUCAUGGUCUUGACUUCAACAUUUCUAUAUGAUACAUACUUAAAAAUAAACCUCUAUACACACAUAAAAAGGACA
Long non-coding RNA from Parus major (Great Tit), 1910 nucleotides. The record is from Ensembl. NCBI's taxonomy places the organism in Eukaryota, Metazoa, Chordata, Aves, Passeriformes, Paridae.